UCAGACGUGUCUCCCAACACUGCGCUCCGCUCUCCUUCCUGCGCCUCAAGUGACCGGAGAGGCGCAAAACCCCUCACCAAGCGCUGUCCCUUUUAUUGGCACCGAAUGGAAUAAAGUACUUUUUCUCUUUGCAGGCAAUCCUCAGUGCGGGACGCGUGACUUCACGGCGGUGAAAACAAAGGAUAAAGGACUCUUGGAGAGGGAACGGAAGAACAAGGGAGAGCAAUAAAGGGUCGAUGCACAGAUUUGCAAGAUCAUUGGUUAUGAUCCAGUGCAUUUGACCUCGGCCGGAACCAGCAAUCCACCUGGGGUAUGAGAGACCGUAUGCACACACACACACACACACACACACACACACACACACACACCUAGGUGCAAAGAAACACACUCGUCUGUUAAAUGGAGUGAACACAUCACUCUUUACUAAGUAGAAGUUUCACUCAUCUCUCCCCCCUCGUUCCCCCAUCUGUCCAUGUCAUCCCUCACUACUCCACUUUCACAUCACCCAUCAGUUAGUCACACACACACACACUCUCUUUCUCACACACACACACACACACACACACUCUCUCUACACAUCAGCCAUCAGUUUGUCCGACAGACACAUAAAUGUACAUCUUCACAUUCACGCACAGGCCGACUCCUUUACAUCACACGUCAGAUCACCCCAGAUUCUCUCUCUCUCUCACACACACACACACACACACACACACACACACACACACACACACACACACAAUGCAUCACACAUCAGUUAUAUCUUUUAUGCUGAAGGAGAGAGGGGGUGUUGGCAGCGGGAGGGGUUGACAGGGGAGAAGAGGAAGUACACAGGAAGUACAUUAGUUAUCACUCCCAUGUCUUCUGCACCUUUUCACUUCUUAUCACCACCCGAUGUCUCAGACCCCAGCCGAGCUGCUUCUCCUUCUCUUCCCACCCCCUUUUUUCUUUUCUCUUUCUGUCUCUCCCUUUCUCACACACACGCCUCUAAAAAUGACUUCCAUGCUCCACUUUAGUGUCGGGCCCUGGGAUCUAGAUGACACUUGGCAAGCCGCAGAAGCCGCGAGACAACUGGAUGAAAUAUUUAAAUGAAAAACGGCAGGGGUAGAAGAGGUGAAGAAAGGAAGGGGGAAAAAGAGAGAGAGAAAGGAAUACAGGACAGAGGACGAGGGAAGGAGACAGUGACGAUAUUCAGAUGGUGAGCAGAAUGUGAAGGAUUUCUUUUCCUGGCUAAGAGAGGGCCAUGUGACAAGAAGUGCAGAUGAAUCGGCUUUCACCUACAAAGUAGCCUGUCGAGAAAUAAACCAAUAUAGAGUGAGAUCACAUUGCUUUGUCUUGGAAUCAUCUGCACGUCUCAGUAUGUGUCGAAGUACUUUCAGCACUGUGCCAGCUCAGCUGCUUGUAGGAGAGCAAUGAAUCUCAUACAUGACCAAAUGAAAUGGGAUUUUAUGACCGUAGAAUUAUAAGGUUCUGUCUGACUUUUAUCCGUUAGAAAUGUUAAAUGCUAAGGCUAGCAUGGCAGCAUGCUAAGUGACAGCGCUAACAUGCUGAUGUUUAGCAUGUAUACAGGAUACUUACUCGAUCGAUAAAGUUUGUUUCACUAUGCUAGCGUUCUAACAAACUCAAAUUGGCUUGGUAUUGUCAUUUCACAGGAGGGCCGAAUCAACAUUCAAGUACUGCAAAAAAGUGCUAUGUUCAAAAUAAAAUAUAAAACGUUUCCAUUCCUAACUUAAAAAAAUGCAAACAGCAGUUUAUAUGAAUUCUUAUAUAUUUUUUUUAUAUAAUCUUUGUUGUUCACAGCCACAAAUAAACACCUGAAAACUGCUCUCUGUUUGCAUGCAUUUGUUGGCACCUUUGACCUUUGCCAUUAUUUUGCACCAAACUAAAUACUUUUGUAACUUUUUUUUUAACUGAAUAUGAAGGAGUAGUGUGCCAAAUAUUAUGGCAAUCCAUCUGAUAUUUGUUGAGAUAUCUCAAUGGAUAAGUCAAAAACGUAGACAAAAAGUAGGGCGAUUACCAAUCAAUGAAUCAUCUGAUCUAUGAUAUUGAUAUCUGUUACAGAUUAAAUAUUGCAGAUAUAUUUUGUUAAAGCAUUUUGUAACAUUGUUUUUUUAAUAUGCAAAUGAAUGUUAUUAUUAUUACCAAAUCACAGCAAUCCAUCCAAUAGUUCUACAGUCUGAAAAGGUUCUAUUGAUAAAGUUUCAACUGCAAAGCCAAUCAGUGCUCAGGUAGUACACUUGAGGACUAAUGCAGUUUUGCCUCUUUACCAGGUUGCCUCAUUGCUCUGUGACCUUAUGUUGAUCAUUGUAUUGAAGACAUUAUGACUAUCACUGAUACAAACGUCAACUGGCUCGUUUUAAUUUGGUGAAAAGCUGUUUUUAUUUUACCUCUAGCUUCUAAACUUGAGAUCCGGGGUAUUCAACUGCAUUUGUCCAAGGGCCAGAAUUUUUCUAAGCUGACACUUGAGGGCCAGACUAUGAAAAAGUAAAUAAUUAAAACUUUAAUUUAGGCCUAAUUAGCCUAUUAUUGUUUCAUAUUUUAAUUUUCUUACACAAUUCAAGUUAUUUUUCAUAAGCCUGACUCAGUGUGAACAGACUAAAAAACAUGGCAAUUAAUCCAUAAUUAUAACUAGAUACUUAGAUAGAAAAUGCUCUCAGACCUCCACCACCUCACUGAGGAGAGAUGUUGAAAUCUGUAAUUGCAGGACGCAGUCCUGAUUUCCAGGAAAUAUUAAUCACCUUUAACCAGUUGAAAUGCAAUAUGCAGUUACACCAUUAUUCUGCACGUGACACCUGUAGUUAAAUGUGAUUUAAUACUACAGCUUACAUGAUUCUGGGGGCAGCUAAACAAACUAUUGUCAUUUUAAUAAGGAAGUCAGGCAAUAUUUUGGCCUUUUUUUUUUAUCAUUCUGUGAGCAACCGUGAUCUGAUUGUAUUCUGCACAGGCCAUGAGUUUGUGAACAGCGACAGUAAAAGUAUCUUUGGUUACCUGGCUGAGAAGUUGGAGGUGUGCAGCUCUUCAUCUAACAGCUCACUGUGGCUGCUCCUUCUUAUUCUAUUACUCCCUGCAAUAUAUCAAACAGUUAUCUUCUUUUGUAGAUGCACUUUUGAUGAACGAUAGCGGGCAGCCAGCGUCAAACUUCCUGAAAAAACAAUUUUCUGCAUUUCCUGUGACGACUACUUCAUAAUAAAAGUCAACUUGUGUUUUGCCAGUUAAAUGCUUUUAAUGUGAAGCUGCAGCAGUAGGAAAUGUUCAGUGUGCAUUAAAUGACCAGAGUUGCUGAUGCAAGAAAGCGGAUGCAACUGUGUGAGCGGAAAAGAGACCAAAAGAACAGCAGACAAGUGGACAGAAAGCAUCAGCAGAAAUUAGUAGAGAAACAUUUUCUUUUAUAGUUUUUUGCAUUGUUUUUAAUUCCAUUGUUAUAUAAGUAUUUAAAAUGUAUAGCUGUGCAUGUGCCAAAAUAUCAUAAUUCCUUUUAAUAAUGAACACAGUGAUUAUGUGUAUUUAAACAACACUGUCUCUUUGUUUUCCAAUUCAUUGCUUAAAUUUCAGCCUUAGAUUAGGCGUUUGCAGUUUGUUCUUACUAUUAGGAGCUAUACUAUUUUGAUGUUACAUAUUUAGAGUGCCUUUAGGGUGCCGGUUAUUUUGACCGAUAAAAGAGAACUUUACUGCGUGCCAUCUUUACAAUUUUGCAGUAAAACCAGGAUUGCAGACAGAACCUUUCGGUUAUGUUUGCUUCCAUUUCCAAUUCAAGAUACAACAAAGAAGCACCUUUAGGUCUAUGUGUGUGUCCAAACAUCCACUUACUGUAAAAGCUCUCCUGAAUUAUUUUUAUAGCUGUAUGCUGGUUGUGCAUAGGUGCAUGCAUUUGUGUGUUUAGUAUGUACAUAAUUGUACUGUACAUAGAUAUAUGUGUGCAUGGGUUUGUGUUUGUAGAAUAAUUUAUGCCUCUUUAUGUAUGCUGCAUUACAGUUGUAUGGGCAUGCUUGCAAAGGACUGUGCUUGCUGCAGAGCUGGACAUCAGGCCUGUCUGUCAGAGAAGUUUGACAGCAUGUAUAGGCAACAAACUUAAAUGUGAGGCCAAAAAAGUGAAGCAAAUUUUACUCCUGCAGUGUACAACUGCAAAAAAAUAUAUAAUAAUUGGAAAGAGAAGUCAAUAAAAACUGAAGAUUUGA
Dicentrarchus labrax (European seabass) is the source of this 4172-nucleotide long non-coding RNA. RefSeq lists it as uncharacterized. Lineage: Eukaryota; Metazoa; Chordata; Actinopteri; Moronidae. The record is from RefSeq and is a predicted model, not a curated record. The transcript is spliced from 3 exons.